AAUGUACAAACAAGGCCGCUCCAAAAAAGGGUAAUUCACUGCUCUGUAAAACCCAAUGGCUGCAAGCACAGAAAGAAGGGACAAGUUAAGUGCUUUACCUCAUCGAUUGGAUCAUCGAAGAACAUAAGCAUCUGGAGUAAAAACUUCACGGCAGCAGAACAUACAACACACGCUACAACACGCACUGGUGAAAAGUAUUAUCUCAGUUGAGAAACUUCAAAACAACAAUAGUUUCAACAAAGAGAAAAGGGAGCCAUUAUGGAAGAGAACUGAAUUGAAUAUCUCGAUACUCAUAAAAGACCGAACUUAAGAAACCUCAGCUCAAAUGGGCAAUAUGAUGGCUACUUUAACUGCUUAUGGCUGCAAGCAAAGGAAAGAAGGGAACAGUUAGAGAUCAAAGCUGAUGAAACCCAUACCACCUAAGAAAUCACUA
Long non-coding RNA from Lycium ferocissimum, 433 nucleotides. RefSeq lists it as uncharacterized. The record is from RefSeq and is a predicted model, not a curated record. The transcript has 3 exons. NCBI's taxonomy places the organism in Eukaryota, Viridiplantae, Streptophyta, Magnoliopsida, Solanales, Solanaceae.